CCUACGGGAGACAGCAGUGAGGAAUAUUGGUCAAUGGGCGGAAGCCUGAACCAGCCAAGUCGCGUGAGGGAAUAAGGCCCUACGGGUCGUAAACCUCUUUUGCCGGGGAGCAAGGGCUGGGACGUGUCCCGGCCCGGAGAGUACCCGGAGACAAAGCAUCGGCUACCUCCUUGCCAGCGGCCCCGGUAAUACGGAGGAUUCCAGCGUUAUCCGGAUUUAUUGGGUUUAAAGGGUGCGUAGGCGGGCUUUUAAGUACGCGGUAAAAAUUCGGGGCUCAACCCGGUCCGGCCGUUGAAACUGGGGGCCUUGAGUGGGCGAGAGGAAGGCGGAAUGCGUGGUGUAGCGGUGAAAUGCAUAGAUAUCACGCAGAACCCCGAUUGCGAAGGCAGCCUGCCGGAGCCCUACUGACGCUGAGGCACGAAAGUGCGGGGAUCGAACAGGAUUAGAUACCCCUGUAGUC
Molecule: ribosomal RNA, 460 nt
Filed under: uncultured bacterium
Lineage: Bacteria
Description: partial 16S ribosomal RNA
Rfam family: Bacterial small subunit ribosomal RNA
Source: RNAcentral